Danaus plexippus (monarch butterfly) is the source of this 1116-nucleotide RNA transcript. RefSeq lists it as uncharacterized. The transcript is spliced from 3 exons. Lineage: Eukaryota; Metazoa; Arthropoda; Insecta; Lepidoptera; Nymphalidae. The record is from RefSeq and is a predicted model, not a curated record.
UUGUCAACUGUUAAUGUAAACUAAUCAAUUCGCAAUACGAUUUGUUAGUUUUAACUGUUAUUAUUAGUCGAAAGUGGGAAAACCGGAUAACUUUCAUCUCGUCUGACGGUGAACAACUUUGAUGAAAUCGAGUUGAAAGGUCGGGAAAUAUAAGAUGAAAUAAUAAACCGCGUAGUAUAUGAUAAAUCCAAAAAAAUAGUUGUAUCCAAAAAAUAUAUAGAAAAAGUAUCGGUUUCCUUAUUCCAGAAUGUUGGUAGAGUAUUGACGGUCACUCAGUGUCAGAAAUCUUUGAUGAAAAAUAUAUUAACACCAAAUCAUGAUUAUAAUUAAAAUAGUUUUUUUUAUUUUUUAUUUUUUGGUCAAGGUUCUAUCAGAUCAAUUCACCUGCAUUUCGUUCAUGUUUCACAAUAUAAUUUUAUUUUGUAGAUAUACCUAUAUUUAAUUUUUAAUAAUUAAAACUAACAAAUCGUAUUGCGAAUUGAUUAGUUUACAUUAACAGUUGACAAUUUACAAAAUUAUGAUCCAAGUUUGUUUUUUCACGUUAACAUACAAUAGCAAGAUCGUAGUGUUAAAUUGAAAAUGGAAAAAUACCUCGUUCUGAUUAAACGAACAUGAUGCUCAUACAUAUAUUUAUUGUUAUAACAGUUAUUUUCGUAGAAGGCACGCAACAAAACGACUUUUACGAUGAAGACAAUUCCAUUGACGAUUCCUACAAACCGAUAUAUGUGGACUUUGUACUGGGAUCCGACGAGAAGUCGUCUGAUGAUAGAAGCGACGUCUUCAUGAGACGUCAACUACGUCAGAGACAUAAACUGAGUUAUAAGAAGAGAGUCCCGGUCUACAUAAUAUCCGAAUACUCAGUCCAUAACAUAAUGGACGAUGAUUCUGAUAAAGACGAUAUGAAGAAAUCAAAAAAGAAGAAAUUCCAUAAAAAAAUGUCCAACCCCGUCAGAAAGAGACGGCUCAAGAGUCAUUGCAAAAUAUCCUGUUACAUAAUAUGUAUAUGUUUUUAAAAAAAAAAAUCUCCAAAAAAAAUUUAUCUGAAGAUAAUAAAAUAAUAACAACAUUGCAAAUUCUCCAAGAGCAUGAAAUAAUUCACAAGUAACUGUAAUAAAU